Molecule: unclassified non-coding RNA, 378 nt
Filed under: plant metagenome
Description: partial contains 5.8S ribosomal RNA, internal transcribed spacer 2, and large subunit ribosomal RNA
Rfam family: 5.8S ribosomal RNA (bases 1-105)
Source: RNAcentral
GAAAUGCGAUAAGUAAUGUGAAUUGCAGAAUUCAGUGAAUCAUCGAAUCUUUGAACGCGUCUUGCGCUCCUUGGUAUUCCUUGGAGCAUGCCUGUUUGAGUAUCAUGAAAUCUUCAAAGUAAAUCUUUUGUUAACUCAAUUGGUUUCUACUUUGGUAUUGGAGGUCUUUGCAGCUUCACACCUGCUCCUCUUUGUUCAUUAGCUGGAUCUCAGUGUUAUGCUUGGUUCCACUCGGCGUGAUAAGUUAUCUAUCGCUGAGGACACUGUAAAAGGUGGCCAAGGUAAAUGCAGAUGAACCGCUUCUAAUAGUCCAUUGACUUGGACAAUACUUUUAUGAUCUGAUCUCAAAUCAGGUAGGACUACCCGCUGAACUUAAGC